GAUGAACGCUAGCGGGAGGCUUAAUACAUGCAAGUCGAACGGUAACAGGUCGAAACCUAGUUCUGACGCUGACGAGUGGCGCACGGGUGAGUAACGCGUACACAACAUACCUCUAAGUCUGGGAUAGCCCUGGGAAACUGGGAUUAAUACCGGAUGUGAUGUAGCAUUCGCAUGGAUGUUGCAUUAAAGCUCCGGCGCUUAGAGAUUGGUGUGCGUUAGAUUAGCUAGUUGGUAAGGUAACGGCUUACCAAGGCGAUGAUCUAUAGGGGGCGUGAGAGCGUGAUCCCCCACACGGGUACUGAGACACGGACCCGACUCCUACGGGAGGCAGCAGUAAGGAAUAUUGGACAAUGGGCGAAAGCCUGAUCCAGCUAUCCCGCGUGCAGGAUGACGGCCCUCUGGGUUGUAAACUGCUUUUAUAUAAGAAGAAACGCUUUGUUUUAAUGGAGCCUGACGGUACUAUAUGAAUAAGCACCGGCUAAUUCCGUGCCAGCAGCCGCGGUAAUACGGAAGGUGCAAGCGUUAUCCGGAAUCACUGGGUUUAAAGGGUGCGUAGGCUGUUUGAUAAGUCAGAGGUGAAAUGUCUGGGCUCAACCGAGGCACUGCCUUUGAUACUGUCAGACUGGAAUCAAGUUAAGGUAGGCGGAAUGUGACAUGUAGCGGUGAAAUGCAUAGAUAUGUCAUAGAACACCAAUUGCGUAGGCAGCUUACUGGACUUGUAUUGACGCUGAGGCACGAAAGCGUGGGGAGCGAACAGGAUUAGAUACCCUGGUAGUCCACGCCCUAAACGAUGCUUACUC
This 800-nucleotide ribosomal RNA is filed under the name uncultured Sphingobacterium sp. RNAcentral's name for it is "bacterial SSU rRNA". It matches the Rfam family "Bacterial small subunit ribosomal RNA", at positions 28 to 818 of the family's 1533-position model. The record is from RNAcentral. Lineage: Bacteria; Pseudomonadati; Bacteroidota; Sphingobacteriia; Sphingobacteriales; Sphingobacteriaceae.